Molecule: transfer RNA, 76 nt
Filed under: Clostridium grantii DSM 8605
Lineage: Bacteria; Bacillati; Bacillota; Clostridia; Eubacteriales; Clostridiaceae
Description: tRNA_Thr_GGT
Rfam family: tRNA
About the family: Transfer RNA (tRNA) molecules are approximately 80 nucleotides in length. Their secondary structure includes four short double-helical elements and three loops (D, anti-codon, and T loops).
Source: RNAcentral
GCCCAUGUAGCUCAGUAGGCAGAGUGUCACCUUGGUAAGGUGGAGGUCGCCGGUUCGAGCCCGGUCGUGGGCUCCA